RNAcentral lists this ribosomal RNA (2903 nucleotides) under Enterobacter cloacae. Its description in RNAcentral is "bacterial LSU rRNA". It matches the Rfam family "Bacterial large subunit ribosomal RNA". The record is from RNAcentral. RNAcentral also lists the same sequence under 2 other names. Lineage: Bacteria; Pseudomonadati; Pseudomonadota; Gammaproteobacteria; Enterobacterales; Enterobacteriaceae.
UUAAGCGACUAAGCGUACACGGUGGAUGCCCUGGCAGUCAGAGGCGAUGAAGGACGUGCUAAUCUGCGAAAAGCGCCGGCGAGGUGAUAUGAACCCUUGACCCGGCGAUGUCCGAAUGGGGAAACCCAGUGCAAUCCGUUGCACUAUCGUUAACUGAAUACAUAGGUUAACGAGGCGAACCGGGGGAACUGAAACAUCUAAGUACCCCGAGGAAAAGAAAUCAACCGAGAUUCCCCCAGUAGCGGCGAGCGAACGGGGAGCAGCCCGGAGUCUGAAUCAGCUUGUGUGUUAGUGGAACGGUCUGGAAAGUCCGACGGUACAGGGUGAUAGUCCCGUACACGAAAGCACACAUGCUGUGAACUCGAAGAGUAGGGCGGGACACGUGGUAUCCUGUCUGAAUAUGGGGGGACCAUCCUCCAAGGCUAAAUACUCCUGACUGACCGAUAGUGAACCAGUACCGUGAGGGAAAGGCGAAAAGAACCCCGGCGAGGGGAGUGAAAAAGAACCUGAAACCGUGUACGUACAAGCAGUGGGAGCCUCUUUAUGGGGUGACUGCGUACCUUUUGUAUAAUGGGUCAGCGACUUAUAUUCUGUAGCAAGGUUAACCGUAUAGGGGAGCCGAAGGGAAACCGAGUCUUAACUGGGCGUUAAGUUGCAGGGUAUAGACCCGAAACCCGGUGAUCUAGCCAUGGGCAGGUUGAAGGUUGGGUAACACUAACUGGAGGACCGAACCGACUAAUGUUGAAAAAUUAGCGGAUGACCUGUGGCUGGGGGUGAAAGGCCAAUCAAACCGGGAGAUAGCUGGUUCUCCCCGAAAGCUAUUUAGGUAGCACCUCGUGAACUCAUCUUCGGGGGUAGAGCACUGUUUCGGCUAGGGGGCCAUCCCGGCUUACCAACCCGAUGCAAACUACGAAUACCGAAGAAUGUUAUCACGGGAGACACACGGCGGGUGCUAACGUCCGUCGUGAAGAGGGAAACAACCCAGACCGCCAGCUAAGGUCCCAAAGUCAUGGUUAAGUGGGAAACGAUGUGGGAAGGCACAGACAGCCAGGAUGUUGGCUUAGAAGCAGCCAUCAUUUAAAGAAAGCGUAAUAGCUCACUGGUCGAGUCGGCCUGCGCGGAAGAUGUAACGGGGCUAAACCAUGCACCGAAGCUGCGGCAGCGACACUAUGUGUUGUUGGGUAGGGGAGCGUUCUGUAAGCCGUUGAAGGUGUGCUGUGAGGCAUGCUGGAGGUAUCAGAAGUGCGAAUGCUGACAUAAGUAACGAUAAAGCGGGUGAAAAGCCCGCUCGCCGGAAGACCAAGGGUUCCUGUCCAACGUUAAUCGGGGCAGGGUGAGUCGACCCCUAAGGCGAGGCCGAAAGGCGUAGUCGAUGGGAAACAGGUUAAUAUUCCUGUACUUGGUGUUACUGCGAAGGGGGGACGGAGAAGGCUAUGUCAGCCGGGCGACGGUUGUCCCGGUUUAAGCAUGUAGGCGGAGGUUCCAGGUAAAUCCGGUACCUUGUUAACGCUGAGGUGUGAUGACGAGGCACUACGGUGCUGAAGUGAUAAAUGCCCUGCUUCCAGGAAAAGCCUCUAAGCAUCAGGUAACACGAAAUCGUACCCCAAACCGACACAGGUGGUCAGGUAGAGAAUACCAAGGCGCUUGAGAGAACUCGGGUGAAGGAACUAGGCAAAAUGGUGCCGUAACUUCGGGAGAAGGCACGCUGAUGUGUAGGUGAAGCCCCUGCGGGUGGAGCUGAAAUCAGUCGAAGAUACCAGCUGGCUGCAACUGUUUAUUAAAAACACAGCACUGUGCAAACACGAAAGUGGACGUAUACGGUGUGACGCCUGCCCGGUGCCGGAAGGUUAAUUGAUGGGGUUAGCGGCAACGCGAAGCUCUUGAUCGAAGCCCCGGUAAACGGCGGCCGUAACUAUAACGGUCCUAAGGUAGCGAAAUUCCUUGUCGGGUAAGUUCCGACCUGCACGAAUGGCGUAAUGAUGGCCAGGCUGUCUCCACCCGAGACUCAGUGAAAUUGAACUCGCUGUGAAGAUGCAGUGUACCCGCGGCAAGACGGAAAGACCCCGUGAACCUUUACUAUAGCUUGACACUGAACACUGGUCCUUGAUGUGUAGGAUAGGUGGGAGGCUUUGAAGCGUGGACGCCAGUCUGCGUGGAGCCAACCUUGAAAUACCACCCUUUAAUGGCUGGUGUUCUAACGUAGACCCGUAAUCCGGGUUGCGGACAGUGUCUGGUGGGUAGUUUGACUGGGGCGGUCUCCUCCCAAAGAGUAACGGAGGAGCACGAAGGUUGGCUAAUCCUGGUCGGACAUCAGGAGGUUAGUGCAAUGGCAUAAGCCAGCUUGACUGCGAGCGUGACGGCGCGAGCAGGUGCGAAAGCAGGUCAUAGUGAUCCGGUGGUUCUGAAUGGAAGGGCCAUCGCUCAACGGAUAAAAGGUACUCCGGGGAUAACAGGCUGAUACCGCCCAAGAGUUCAUAUCGACGGCGGUGUUUGGCACCUCGAUGUCGGCUCAUCACAUCCUGGGGCUGAAGUAGGUCCCAAGGGUAUGGCUGUUCGCCAUUUAAAGUGGUACGCGAGCUGGGUUUAGAACGUCGUGAGACAGUUCGGUCCCUAUCUGCCGUGGGCGCUGGAGAAUUGAGGGGGGCUGCUCCUAGUACGAGAGGACCGGAGUGGACGCAUCACUGGUGUUCGGGUUGUCAUGCCAAUGGCACUGCCCGGUAGCUAAAUGCGGAAGAGAUAAGUGCUGAAAGCAUCUAAGCACGAAACUUGCCCCGAGAUGAGUUCUCCCUGAGACUUUAAGUCUCCUGAAGGAACGUUGAAGACGACGACGUUGAUAGGUCGGGUGUGUAAGCGCAGCGAUGCGUUGAGCUAACCGAUACUAAUGAACCGUGAGGCUUAACCUU